This 497-nucleotide ribosomal RNA is filed under the name uncultured bacterium. RNAcentral describes it as "partial 16S ribosomal RNA". It matches the Rfam family "Bacterial small subunit ribosomal RNA", at positions 28 to 507 of the family's 1533-position model. The record is from RNAcentral.
GAUGAACGCUGGCGGCGUGCCUAAUACAUGCAAGUCGAGCGAACAGAUGAGGAGCUUGCUCCUCUGACGUUAGCGGAGGACGGGUGAGUAACACGUGGAUACCCUACCUAUAAGACUGGGAUCACUUCGGGACACCGGAGCUAAUACCGGAGAAUAUCUUGAACCGCGUGGUUGGUUAGUGAAAGACGGUUUUGCUGUCAGUUAUAGCUGGAUCCGCGCGGGAUUAGCUAGUUGGUAAGGUAACGGCUUACCAAGGCAACGAUGCGUAGCCGAGCGGAGGGAGGGGUCGGCCACACGGGAGCGUAGACACGGACCAUACUCCUACGGGACGCAGCAGUAUGGAAUCGUCCGCAGUGGGCGAAAGCCUGACGGAGCAACGCCGAGUGUGUUACGACAGUCUUCGGUUCGUAAUACCCUGUUACGAGGGAAGAACAAAUGUGUAAUGAACUAUGCCCGUCUUGACGGUACCUAAUCAGAAAGCCCCGGCUAACUACGUG